This 984-nucleotide non-coding RNA is filed under the name Dendrocygna bicolor (fulvous whistling-duck). RNAcentral's name for it is "partial 12S ribosomal RNA". It matches the Rfam family "Bacterial small subunit ribosomal RNA". The record is from RNAcentral. Lineage: Eukaryota; Metazoa; Chordata; Aves; Anseriformes; Anatidae.
AAAGACUUAGUCCUAACCUUACGAUUGGUUACAGCCAAAUAUAUACAUGCAAGUAUCCGCGCUCCAGUGUAGAUGCCCUUAAUCGCCUCUUUUCCCCCGGCUCUAAGGAGCGGGCAUCAGGCACACCCAAGCAGUAGCCCAAGACGCCUUGCGUAGCCACGCCCCCACGGGUAUUCAGCAGUAAUUAAUAUUAAGCAAUGAGUGAAAACUUGACUUAGUUAUGGCAACAAUUUAAGGGUUGGUAAAUCUUGUGCCAGCCACCGCGGUCACACAAGAAACCCAAAUCAAUCGUCCCUCCACGGCGUAAAGAGUGGGAAAAUGCUUAUCCUAUCAAACUAAGGCCGAAAUGCAACUAAGCCGUCGUAAGCUAAAGAUGCACUUAAGAACGCUAUAAAGAUAACCUUAGAAAAUAGCGACCAAUUUAAACCCACGAAAGCCAGGGCACAAACUGGGAUUAGAUACCCCACUAUGCCUGGCCCUAAAUCUCGAUACUUAUAAUACCCAAGUAUCCGCCCGAGAACUACGAGCGCAAACGCUUAAAACUCUAAGGACUUGGCGGUACCCUAAACCCACCUAGAGGAGCCUGUUCUAUAAUCGAUAAUCCACGAUGAACCCAACCACCCCUUGCCCAACACCAGCCUACAUACCGCCGUCCCCAGCCCACCUCGAGAUGAGAGCACAACAGUGAGCAAAAUAGCGUCUCCCGCUAACAAGACAGGUCAAGGUAUAGCCCAUGGGGUGGGAGAAAUGGGCUACAUUCUCUGAGACAGAGCACCACGAAAAGAAGCGUGAAACCGCUUCUGGAAGGAGGAUUUAGCAGUAAAAUAGGAUAAUAGAGCCUAUUUUAAGCCGGCCCUGGGGUACGUACAUACCGCCCGUCACCCUCCUCACAAGCUAUAAAACCCAAUAAUUAAUACAACCAACACGCUAAAGAUGAGGUAAGUCGUAACAAGGUAAGUGUACCGGAAGGUGUACUUAGAAUAC